ACGCAGCGAAAUGCGAUAAGUAGUGUGAAUUGCAGAAUUCAGUGAAUCAUCGAAUCUUUGAACGCACAUUGCGCCCCUUGGUAUUCCAUGGGGCAUGCCUGUUCGAGCGUCAUUUGUACCCUCAAGCUUUGCUUGGUGUUGGGUGUUUGUCCUCUCUGGAGGACUCGCCUUAAAACAAUUGGCAGCCGGCAUAUUGGUAUCGGAGCGCAGCACAAGUCGCGCUUCUUUCCAUGAAUGUCAGCAUCCAUCAAGACUAUUUUCACUCUUGACCUCGGAUCAGGUAGGGAUACCCGCUGAACUUAAGCAUAUCA
Molecule: ribosomal RNA, 311 nt
Filed under: uncultured Macrophoma
Lineage: Eukaryota; Fungi; Ascomycota
Description: eukaryotic LSU rRNA
Rfam family: 5.8S ribosomal RNA (bases 1-112)
Source: RNAcentral